CGGAGGGAGCUAGCGUUAUUCGGAAUUACUGGGCGUAAAGCGCACGUAGGCGGCUUUGUAAGUUAGAGGUGAAAGCCCGGAGCUCAACUCCGGAACUGCCUUUAAGACUGCAUCGCUUGAAUCCAGGAGAGGUGAGUGGAAUUCCGAGUGUAGAGGUGAAAUUCGUAGAUAUUCGGAAGAACACCAGUGGCGAAGGCGGCUCACUGGACUGGUAUUGACGCUGAGGUGCGAAAAGCGUGGGGGAGCAAAACAGGAUU
RNAcentral lists this ribosomal RNA (257 nucleotides) under uncultured bacterium. RNAcentral's name for it is "partial 16S ribosomal RNA". It matches the Rfam family "Bacterial small subunit ribosomal RNA", at positions 526 to 779 of the family's 1533-position model. The record is from RNAcentral.